GUGUGCUGAACUGUGGCUGUAUUAUGCUUCCUACAUCGUGUGCAUACAUGUGUAUGUGCUCACGAUGUUGGGGCAAAAUACAGGCGGAGUUUGGCACGAC
Molecule: non-coding RNA, 100 nt
Organism: Marchantia polymorpha subsp. ruderalis
Lineage: Eukaryota; Viridiplantae; Streptophyta; Marchantiopsida; Marchantiales; Marchantiaceae
Source: the annotation of a GenBank genome assembly